Molecule: ribosomal RNA, 727 nt
Filed under: uncultured Prevotellaceae bacterium
Lineage: Bacteria; Pseudomonadati; Bacteroidota; Bacteroidia; Bacteroidales; Prevotellaceae
Description: bacterial SSU rRNA
Rfam family: Bacterial small subunit ribosomal RNA
Source: RNAcentral
CGUAUCCAACCUUCCCAUAACUAAGGGAUAACCUGCCGAAAGGCAGACCAAUACCUUAUGGUCUUCACUGACGGCAUCAGAUGUGAAGUAAAGAUUUAUCGGUUAUGGAUGGGGAUGCGUCUGAUUAGCUUGUUGGCGGGGUAACGGCCCACCAAGGCAACGAUCAGUAGGAGUUCUGAGAGGAAGGUCCCCCACAUUGGAACUGAGACACGGUCCAAACUCCUACGGGAGGCAGCAGUGAGGAAUAUUGGUCAAUGGGCGAGAGCCUGAACCAGCCAAGUAGCGUGCAGGAUGACGGCCCUAUGGGUUGUAAACUGCUUUUGUAUGGGGAUAAAGUCAAUCACGUGUGAUUGUUUGCAGGUACCAUACGAAUAAGGACCGGCUAAUUCCGUGCCAGCAGCCGCGGUAAUACGGAAGGUCCGGGCGUUAUCCGGAUUUAUUGGAUUUAAAGGGAGCGUAGGCUGGAGAUUAAGUGUGUUGUGAAAUGUAGACGCUCAACGUCUGACUUGCAGCGCAUACUGGUUUCCUUGAGUACGCACAACGUUGGCGGAAUUCGUCGUGUAGCGGUGAAAUGCUUAGAUAUGACGAAGAACUCCGAUUGCGAAGGCAGCUGACGGGAGCGCAACUGACGCUGAAGCUCGAAGGUGCGGGUAUCGAACAGGAUUAGAUACCCUGGUAGUCCGCACAGUAAACGAUGGAUGCCCGCUGUUGGUACUUGGUAUCAGCG